UGGGGAAUAUUGCGCAAUGGGGGAAACCCUGACGCAGCGACGCCGCGUGUGGGAUGAAGGUCUUCGGAUUGUAAACCACUGUCGCGAGGGACGAAGCUCUGACGGUACCUCGAAAGGAAGCACCGGCUAACUCUGUGCCAGCAGCCGCGGUAAUACAGAGGGUGCGAGCGUUGUCCGGAAUCACUGGGCGUAAAGGGCGCGUAGGCGGCCCGGUAAGUAGGGGGUGAAAUCUCAUGGCUCAACUGUGAGGCUGCCUUCUAGACUGCCAGGCUUGAGCACAGUAGAGGCGAGUGGAAUUCCCGGUGUAGCGGUGGAAUGCGUAGAGAUCGGGAAGAACAUCGGUGGCGAAGGCGGCUCGCUGGGCUGUUGCUGACGCUGAGGCGCGAAAGCGUGGGGAGCAAACAGGAUUAGAUACCCGGGUAGUCCCUGAGCGGGCUGGCAAGGCGCAU
Molecule: ribosomal RNA, 449 nt
Filed under: uncultured bacterium
Lineage: Bacteria
Description: bacterial SSU rRNA
Rfam family: Bacterial small subunit ribosomal RNA
Source: RNAcentral